UCCUGGGGCAUGAGGCGGGCACAAAGGGGUGGCUGCUGUUAGUGCCACCGCCUGCCCGGCUCUCCUCCCUACAACGGACUCCCCACCCCCCCUUCCUGGCUUUAUUUCCCUUCCCGGCACUCCCCGUGCCCCGCCACGGUAUCCCUCUCCUCUCUCUAGAACGUGACUCCAACGAGGUGAAAAGCCGUUCCUAUCGGCCAGCGCUCCUCAACAGGAACCGAGCCCUUCCCCGGUCUGGCCCCACAGUCAGUGGCCUGCGUAUCAUGCGUCUGACUCAUCCUCACCAUUCUCCUUGGCUGCCUUUCUGGAAAGUUCCUGUUGUACGUCUAGCCUCGUAAACUGAAGUUGGGCAAUAGGACGAGGCUGUCCCAGAACCCUGUAGCUCUGUCCCUCAGAUGAGUCCCUCUACUUCUCUGUGCCUCCGUUUCCCUGUCUGGGAAAUGGGCCCAGCCCACCUGCCUGCUGGGAGGAUGUAAUGUGCUUUUCCUGUGAAACACGCGGAGCUCCGACCGGCACAGAGUGACAACGGUGACUGAGCCGUCGGGGCCGGGACCGCCCAGCACUGGGUCAUUGGCGCCUCCUGCCCCACAGGGCUUGGGGACCGACAGUGUCAGCUUGGCUGGGGAGCGCCUCCCAGCUCUGCCAACUGCGUGACCCUGGGUGAGCGAGUGAUCAAAUCCAGGCUCUAUCGUUUGCCUGUUCCGGGCCCCGGAGCAUCUAUCUCUGUCCCUGGCCAAGCGUCAACUUCCUCCUCUGUACAGAGGGGGUGACAGGAGGCCCUCCCUUCACCGGAUCCGAUUCUCCCUGCUCUCGCCCUGUCUCCUUCUACAACAAAUGAAAAGAACCACCUUCCCAACCACAAGGGGUCCUCGGGGUCGGUAGCACGCAGCCUGCCAUCGCCACCGCGGCUCCAGGGUGUGGUACUGGUGGGGGUUUUAACGACAUUGACACAGGCAGAGAGUUCUGUUGGGCAUCGGGCCUGGAAAUGGUGCCACAAACAGUCGUGCUCAGCUGGGAAUAUUCUGUGGGCCACACAGAUCAUCUAGAAAGUCUCGAGUCAGGAGAAUCAGACCAGAACGCACCUCGGUCAGCGAGCUUCUCAGAAAGGGCAGGGAUGACUCAGGAAUGAGCAAGAAGAGGCAGGAGGUUUUGACAUCCUUACGACACCGAGGGGGGGGCGCCAGGGUGGAGCUGGGGACA
Lynx canadensis (Canada lynx) is the source of this 1200-nucleotide long non-coding RNA. RefSeq lists it as uncharacterized. The transcript is spliced from 2 exons. The record is from RefSeq and is a predicted model, not a curated record. NCBI's taxonomy places the organism in Eukaryota, Metazoa, Chordata, Mammalia, Carnivora, Felidae.